GGCGGCCGUAACAAUAACGGUCCUAAGGUAGCGAAAUUCCUUGUCAGGUAAGUUCUGACCCGCACGAAUGGCGUAACGAUCUGGGCACUGUCUCAACAACCCGCCCGGCGAAAUUGUAGUACCGGUGAAGAUGCCGGUUACCCGCGACUAGACGGAAAGACCCCAUGGAGCUUUACUGUAGCUUAAUGUUGGAUUUCGGUAUUCCAUGUACAGGAUAGGUGGGAGACUGGGAAGCAAGGGCGUCAGCUCUUGUGGAGUCAACGGUGGGAUACCACUCUUGGAAUGCUGGAAUUCUAACCUGCGCCGUGAAACCGGUCGGGGGACAUCGUUAGGUGGGCAGUUUGACUGGGGCGGUCGCCUCCGAAAGGGUAUCGGAGGCGCUCAAAGGU
This 389-nucleotide ribosomal RNA is filed under the name Bigelowiella natans. RNAcentral's name for it is "partial Bacterial large subunit ribosomal RNA". It matches the Rfam family "Bacterial large subunit ribosomal RNA", at positions 1929 to 2317 of the family's 2925-position model. Lineage: Eukaryota; Cercozoa; Chlorarachniophyceae. The record is from RNAcentral.